This 333-nucleotide ribosomal RNA is filed under the name uncultured beta proteobacterium. RNAcentral describes it as "bacterial SSU rRNA". It matches the Rfam family "Bacterial small subunit ribosomal RNA", at positions 297 to 622 of the family's 1533-position model. Lineage: Bacteria; Pseudomonadati; Pseudomonadota; Betaproteobacteria. The record is from RNAcentral.
AGGAUGAUCCGCCACACUGGAACUGAGACACGGUCCAGACUCCUACGGGAGGCAGCAGUGGGGAAUUUUGGACAAUGGGGGCAACCCUGAUCCAGCCAUGCCGCGUGAGUGAAGAAGGCCUUCGGGUUGUAAAGCUCUUUCAGCCGGGAAGAAAUCGUACAGGCUAAUACCCUGUGCGGAUGACGGUACCGGAAUAAGAAGCACCGGCUAACUACGUGCCAGCAGCCGCGGUAAUACGUAGGGUGCGAGCGUUAAUCGGAAUUACUGGGCGUAAAGCGUGCGCAGGCGGUUUUGUAAGACAGGCGUGAAAUCCCCGGGCUUAACCUGGGAACU